RNAcentral lists this long non-coding RNA (801 nucleotides) under Mus pahari (shrew mouse). RNAcentral's name for it is "lncRNA (MGP_PahariEiJ_G0002419.1)". Lineage: Eukaryota; Metazoa; Chordata; Mammalia; Rodentia; Muridae. The record is from RNAcentral.
UCCCUCAUGGAAACACUUCAGUGGGAACCCAGUAGGCCUGAGACCAGCCCAGAGCGCGCUCUCCGGUCAGCUAGAGCUCGGCUUAACGCGGAACGCUGCCCGCCUGCCACUCCAAAACAGCCACAUAGCGUGGUGUUCGUGAUUUCUUUUCCGAGUGAGCUUUUUGCCUCACCUCGUGGACGGUGACGGUUCACCUCCCCCUUGCUUCUUGGGCUCUGAACUCAGAGGCCCAGAGCCCUGGACCGUGUCUGUGGAAUGGUUCAGCAUAUCUGGCCGAAGAAAUUGGCAACAUUUGCUACGAAUAAAACCCAAGCGGUUCCAGCAGCCAUUUUGAAUUAAGUUUCGCACCACGACAAACCCUCGUCCCUCCGCCGCACAGGCAAGACCGGGUGCCCGGGGAAGGCGCAGGGGCCAUGGGGUGGGAGAGGACCAGCGUCUCUGCCUUCCUCGGAGGCUCGGCACAAAACCCCAGGCUAAGGGGGAUCUUGCUGGCAGGGGUGCAGCAAACUUGAGGAAAGGGCCUCUGUGGUUAUAGAACGGACUGUCACAGGGCUGCCCCUACGGACCCUGGCCGCACAGCCCUCCAGUAGCAGGAGGUCUUCCCGGCUCCCCGGCAGUGCCCUCCCUUCGCAGACGCUCCCCAUAAUCCCCUAAGGAAAGUUCCUUCAAAUGAGUCUACAUUCAAGCCUUCCAUCUCGCCUGGAGUGGUAAAGCGACUGGCAUCUAAAAGGCCUAGAUGUCGCUCGUCUCAGCCCAUUUAAAAAAAAAAAAAAAAAAAAAAAAAAAAAAGACUUUUAAUGC